Acanthosepion pharaonis is the source of this 74-nucleotide non-coding RNA. The record is from the annotation of a GenBank genome assembly. NCBI's taxonomy places the organism in Eukaryota, Metazoa, Mollusca, Cephalopoda, Sepiida, Sepiidae.
AUCACUGAAGUUAAGCAACAUCGAGCCUGGUUAGUACCUAGAUGGGUGAUCACUUGGGAAUACCAGGUGCUAUA